Vanessa atalanta (red admiral) is the source of this 432-nucleotide long non-coding RNA. RefSeq lists it as uncharacterized. The record is from RefSeq and is a predicted model, not a curated record. Lineage: Eukaryota; Metazoa; Arthropoda; Insecta; Lepidoptera; Nymphalidae. The transcript is spliced from 2 exons.
GCAGGCAAGUCUUCUGUUCCAUUGUCCGUGGACGUACGUUGCAUCGAACUCUUUAUCAAUAAAAUAUUAAGAUGCCUUGUGGAGGUUGUGGCGAUAAUUGCAAAUGCACUCCGGCUCAGUGCUGCCAGAGUUGCAAGUGUGAUUCAUCCUGCUCAUGUUCUUGCAAGCGGUCGACCACUGACUCGACCACAAAAAAGAAUUGAUGAAGAAAUGUCUUCAAAAUUAAAGCAUUAAUCGUUUUUUCGUAAUGAAAAUAGAUAUAUCGUAAUUACGCUUUUUUAUUUGCAUUCAAUUUAGAAAAUUUAUUCUCCUUAACAUUAUUUGUUAUCUAUGUGUAAUUUACAUCUUGUAAAAACAAAUUUAGGUGCAAAUAAUAAUAAAAAAAAAAUAGAACGCACAAUAUGUCCGUUCGUCACAUCCGUAAUCUGACAU